RNAcentral lists this ribosomal RNA (846 nucleotides) under Bairdiocopina sp. New Zealand. RNAcentral's name for it is "eukaryotic LSU rRNA". It matches the Rfam family "Eukaryotic large subunit ribosomal RNA", at positions 1295 to 1840 of the family's 3401-position model. Lineage: Eukaryota; Metazoa; Arthropoda; Ostracoda; Podocopida. The record is from RNAcentral.
UGCCGAAGCAACCAGCCCUGAAAAUGGAUGGCGCUAUAGCGUCUUGCCUAUACAUAACCGCUAGAACAGAGCUGGCUUCUUUAAUUACAGGGCCCUUAAGUUCUAGUGAGUAGGAGGGUGUAGUGGUAAGCGCAGAAGGGUCUGAGCGUAAGCUUGCCUGGAGCUGCCACUGGCACAGAUCUUGGUGGUAGUAGCAAAUACUCGAGUGAGACUCUCGAGGACUGACGUGGAGAAGGGUUUCAUGUGAACAGCAAUUGCACAUGGGUGAGUCGAUCCUAAGCCAUAUGCGAAAGCAGAUUGAUACACAAUGGCCAAAAUGAAACAAAAAAUGGUGGUGCAUGGUACCAAAUAUAUAUAUAUAUAAUCUUUUAGAGAAAAAAUUCUAUUAAGAUAAUAAAAAGAACCUUGGUGCAGUUCUUGGUACAAAGUGGUGCAAAAAAACUCACACACAAGUUGGUGGUUAUAGUACCCAAUAUAUAUAAUGUUUUAAAAAGAUAAAACAAAAGUGGUGCAAAUUUUGGUACAAAAAGUCUAAGGACAAAAUAAAAAAAAGUGGCCAGUACAAUUCAGGCGAAAGGGAAUCCGGUACUCAUUCCGGAACCUGGACAUGGGGAGUUGUGAUGUUUCUUCAUCACUCAGCCGUAAGGCAAAUACUAACUUGGAGAUAUUCGACCAGGGGGCCAGGAAGAGUUUUCUUUUCUAAUUAAGUGUCUGAGGGCCUUGAGAACCGUGUCAUACGGAGAGAGGGUCUUGGAUGCGAAGAGCGCCGCGGUUCUUGCGGCGUCUGCGCUACUGCUGGUUUGAAACUUAAAAAUCCAAGGGGAGAAAUGCUAACCUUCAUGCAAA